Molecule: non-coding RNA, 73 nt
Organism: Potamilus streckersoni
Lineage: Eukaryota; Metazoa; Mollusca; Bivalvia; Unionida; Unionidae
Source: the annotation of a GenBank genome assembly
GAUCCAGUGGCUUAGUGGUUAGAGCUUCCGCUUCGGAUGCGGGAGGUUGUAGGUUCGAUCCCCAGUCGAGUCA